UCCCUGGAGGACUAGAGGUUAGGCCUCAGUGCUCUAACCGCCGUGGCCCUGGUUCGAUUCCUGGCAGGGAA
This is a non-coding RNA of Pangasianodon gigas (Mekong giant catfish), 71 nucleotides long. The record is from the annotation of a GenBank genome assembly. Lineage: Eukaryota; Metazoa; Chordata; Actinopteri; Siluriformes; Pangasiidae.